CAAAUAUUAAUCGCUUCUAAUGGAAAUUCUUUGCCCAGGAGACUACAUUCAGCAAGCUGCCUUACGAGAUUUUGUUUUAGCUUUCUUUUGGAUUCAGCAAGGCUAGCUGUGAAGAUUUCAGCACUACAGAAAGCUCUGCAGAAGCUCACUUCAGAACUGUUUAUGUCUACACUUAUGGAAGAGGUUCAUAUCCAGAGUGAAGACCUGGAGAACCUGAGAAAUAUUUUCAAAUGUCAUGAUGACAAUAGAAAAUGAUCAGAUUGCCGAGAAGAUUGGACACGUUUGAUAUUUUGUUCCAAUGGAGUCCCAGGUUCCAUCUAACGAAUAGAAUUAACGAGAAUUGUUUUUGAAAAAUAUAAACAUUGUGUUUCCAUGAUACAAAACUUAUACUUUAAUUAAUCUUAACAUACUGGUUACGUUUAAGGUACUUUAUUUCAAAAAGUAAAUCAUGUUAGAGCACAAAAUCUAAAUAAACAUAUUUGUCACCUG
Long non-coding RNA from Rhincodon typus (whale shark), 489 nucleotides. RefSeq lists it as uncharacterized. NCBI's taxonomy places the organism in Eukaryota, Metazoa, Chordata, Chondrichthyes, Orectolobiformes, Rhincodontidae. The record is from RefSeq and is a predicted model, not a curated record. The transcript has 3 exons.